Molecule: ribosomal RNA, 492 nt
Filed under: uncultured bacterium
Lineage: Bacteria
Description: partial 16S ribosomal RNA
Rfam family: Bacterial small subunit ribosomal RNA
Source: RNAcentral
AGUGAACGCUGGCGGUAGGCCUAACACAUGCAAGUCGAACGGCAGCACAGUAAGAGCUUGCUCUUACGGGUGGCGAGUGGCGGACGGGUGAGGAAUACAUCGGAAUCUACUUUUUCGUGGGGGAUAACGUAGGGAAACUUACGCUAAUACCGCAUACGACCUACGGGUGAAAGCAGUGGAUCUUCGGACCUUGCGCGAUUGAAUGAGCCGAUGUCGGAUUAGCUAGUUGGCGGGGUAAAGGCCCACCAAGGCGACGAUCCGUAGCUGGUCUGAGAGGAUGAUCGGCCACCCUGGAACUGAGACACGGUCCAGACUCCUACGGGAGGCAGCAGUGGGGAAUAUUGGACAAUGGGCGCAAGCCUGAUCCAGCCAUACCGCGUGGGUGAAGAAGGCCUUCGGGUUGUAAAGCCCUUUUGUUGGGAAAGAAAAGCAGCAGGUUAAUACCCCGCUGUUCUGACGGUACCCAAAGAAUAAGCACCGGCUAACUUCGUG